UUGCCACAGAAUGAGACAGCAGAGGUCAUCAAAGCCGCCUGAGGCUACAGCUGAGCGCCGUGAGAACCAUCGCCACCGAAAGAGACUGAAGAAGUCAUGUGAGCCACCUCAGGUUACAGCUGAACAUCACUGGGUGCGUCAUCCACACUGCAAGUGAAGGGAGAAGAAACCAUGUGUAUUUCACUCAACUGUUUUGAAGUCUUCAAAUGGCCAUUAAAACUCACCAUGCAGCACCUCUAACAUGGACAUGCA
Scomber scombrus (Atlantic mackerel) is the source of this 252-nucleotide long non-coding RNA. RefSeq lists it as uncharacterized. Lineage: Eukaryota; Metazoa; Chordata; Actinopteri; Scombriformes; Scombridae. The record is from RefSeq and is a predicted model, not a curated record. The transcript has 3 exons.